RNAcentral lists this ribosomal RNA (482 nucleotides) under uncultured bacterium. Its description in RNAcentral is "bacterial SSU rRNA". It matches the Rfam family "Bacterial small subunit ribosomal RNA", at positions 97 to 575 of the family's 1533-position model. The record is from RNAcentral.
GGCGGACGGGUGAGUAAUGCCUAGGAAUCUGCCUGGUAGUGGGGGAUAACGUCCGGAAACGGGCGCUAAUACCGCAUACGUCCUGAGGGAGAAAGUGGGGGAUCUUCGGACCUCACGCUAUCAGAUGAGCCUAGGUCGGAUUAGCUAGUUGGUGGGGUAAAGGCCUACCAAGGCGACGAUCCGUAACUGGUCUGAGAGGAUGAUCAGUCACACUGGAACUGAGACACGGUCCAGACUCCUACGGGAGGCAGCAGUGGGGAAUAUUGGACAAUGGGCGAAAGCCUGAUCCAGCCAUGCCGCGUGUGUGAAGAAGGUCUUCGGAUUGUAAAGCACUUUAAGUUGGGAGGAAGGGCAGUAAGUUAAUACCUUGCUGUUUUGACGUUACCAACAGAAUAAGCACCGGCUAACUCCGUGCCAGCAGCCGCGGUAAUACGAAGGGUGCAAGCGUUAAUCGGAAUUACUGGGCGUAAAGCGCGCGUAGG